AACGAACGCUGGCGGCAUGCCUAACACAUGCAAGUCGAACGGAUCCUUCGGGAUUAGUGGCGCACGGGUGCGUAACGCGUGGGAAUCUGCCCUGGGGUACGGAAUAACUCAGCGAAAGUUGUGCUAAUACCGUAUGAUGUCUUCGGACCAAAGAUUUAUCGCCCUGGGAUGAGCCCGCGUAGGAUUAGCUAGUUGGUGAGGUAAAGGCUCACCAAGGCGACGAUCCUUAGCUGGUCUGAGAGGAUGAUCAGCCACACUGGGACUGAGACACGGCCCAGACUCCUACGGGAGGCAGAAGUGGGGAAUAUUGGACAAUGGGCGCAAGCCUGAUCCAGCAGUGCCGCGGGAGUGAUGAAGGCCUUAGGGUUGUAAAGCUCUUUUACCCGGGAAGAUAAUGACUGUACCGGGAGAAUAAGCCCCGGCUAACUCCGUGCCAGCCGCCGCAGUAA
RNAcentral lists this ribosomal RNA (449 nucleotides) under uncultured bacterium. RNAcentral describes it as "partial 16S ribosomal RNA". It matches the Rfam family "Bacterial small subunit ribosomal RNA", at positions 29 to 523 of the family's 1533-position model. The record is from RNAcentral.